UUAACAUAUAGUAUAAUAAUGAUUUCAGAGUAGAAUUUAGUGAUUCGUCACUUACAUAUAACACCCAGUGCUCAUCCCAAGUGCCCUCUUUAAUGUCCCUCGCCCCUUUAGCCCCUCCUCCUGACCCAACACCCCACCGGCAACCCUCAGUUUGUUGUCUGUAUUUAAGAGGCUCUUAUGGUUUGUCUCCCUCUCUGUUUUUAUAUUAUUUUUCCUUCCCUUCCCUUACGUUCAUCUGUUUUAUAUCUUCAAUUCCACAUAUGAGUGAAGUCAUAUGAUGUCUGUCUUUCUCUGACCGACUGAUUUUAAAAUGCAGCAUUGAUAUUUGAUAUGCAUUGUUUCAUGAUAUUUGCAAUUUACAUUAUAAAAUCCUUCUGUAUCAAAAAAAAAAAAAAAAAAAAAACAACAGCGCCCAACUUCAGGUGUUAAACAAUUCUAAAUAAGGCAUCACAAUCUAACCAUCCAUGCCAUAGACGUUUUUUAAAUACCUCUAUUGCAGGUGGCGCAUUAAGCACUGAAAAAUACGCAAAAGGGUGAGGCAAGAAAUGCUGAUGGAAUAGUAAAUAUUUUAUAUAGUUAAUAUAUUUAUAAAAUAAUUAUGGGAUUAUCCAUUACAAAACAGGAUUUGUUUUACUUCCCAAAUCUCUUUUAUUGACUCAUCUCUUAAAUUCUGGUGGUUCCUUAGCCAUGUCUCAGCCAUACUCUUUCCUCCAUCAGUUCCUAGGUGAGCUGGUAUUCACAACCAUCACUUGAGAUGUUUCCUUCUAUGCUGAUAACAAAACCAUUCCUAUCCCUACAAACACAUUUCUUUGUAGGUCAGGGGUCAGCCAAUUAAGGACCUUGGGUCAAAUCUGUCCACUGGCUGUUUUUGUACAGUCUGUAAAUAAUUUUCCCAUUUUUUAAUAGUUGGAAAAAAAUAGUAUUUCAAGACCUGUGAAAACAAUAUAAAAUUUAGAUUUUAGCAUUCAUAAAGUUAUAGUAGAAUGCAGCCACACUCCUCUGUUUACAUAUUUCCAUUGCUGCUUCCCACCUAUUAAAACAGCACUCAGUAGCUGUGACAGAGACCUUAUACAGACUUUAAUGAUGAAAAUAUUUAACACCUGCUUCUUUAUAGUAGAAGUUUGCCCAGCAGCUCUAGAUCAUUUUAUUUACUGCCCUUUGGGUAUGGUACCUCUGCAUCCCAUAGAUAGCUCAAACUCACUAUGUUAAAACUGAAUUAUCUUUCCUCACAAGUCAAAGUCUGUCCCUUUCAAUAAUGAAGUCAUUUGAGACAUCUUUACUCUUAGCACUUAUCAUGGAUCAAGUUCCAAGAGAUUCUGCCUCAUUGAAGUUUCUUGCAUUUAUCUUCCUCUCUAUCAUUAUUGCUAAAGCCUUAAUUCAGACCUCUCACAUGGGCUAUUAAAAGUCAUUCAACACUUUCUCAGUUGUCUACCAUCUCAUCUCCCUCUAAAGUUGUUCUCAACUUCCUAUCCCAUCACACUUAAGGGUUGUUGUAACAAUACUCUGAGGUGUAUUAUUUCAUCACAGUGGAGGAAAUUAGUAGUGUUUGGGUGGAAGUGAGAUAAAAUAUAGUUCCAAGACACUCCAAUAGGCAAGGCACCCUCAUUGUCCUUGAUGAACAGCUGCUAGAAUGACUUGAUCACAUUAUUACCUUAUUUAAAACUCUAGCUAGGCUUAUAAGCUCCAUUAUAACUGGAGUAUGCAUGCAUUUCCAGGAUCUUCUUUUCUAGAACCUUUCUCUUAUACAAAUUCUGCUUCCAGAAUGACUGAGGAAUUCUCAAACACUAACGUUGCCUAAGUGUGACCUACUGCUUCUGGAUUAUGUCUAUGCCUCUGGUUUCCCAGAUCUAUUGGCAUGGUGAAAUAUACCGACGCAUUGGGACCAUCCCUUCUGCAAAGGCUUUUCAGCUAUCCCUGAUCUCUAGAAUUGAGGACUCCUUCAAUGCUCUCAAUGCACCCAGACAACUAACUUACUUAAUUGCUCUUAUUGACCAUAUGCUCAUUGUCCUUUACUACAUUAUAACCUCCUUGGCAUUAGGGACUAAGUUUGUAUCCCAAGACAUAGCAAUUAGUAGGCAUUAGAGAAAUGUUGGCUGAAAAAAUGAAGGGAACUGCAUCUAGCACCUUUCAGAUGACAAUUCGAUGGUAAUAUCCCUUAAUGGUUUUUACUUUACACAGAAGAACAAUCAAGGUCUUGCCUGCAGACACCGCAGAAACUAUAUGUGCCUCUACAUAAAGCUGAUGCUCAGAAAGGACUGAAAAUAAUUGCUGGACGCAGAGAUACAACUAACAGAGAAAAGUACUUCUUAGUACACACUGGGGGAGAUAAGUGCCUCUUCGUGUGAAGGUAAUACUCUUUGGGGUGUUACAGGAUGAAUAAUAGCCAAAGUCAACGCUUUCAAUAGAGAAGAAUGUGCCUUUUAGCAGCGGAAGAAACAAGAUCCUCAUUUGCUGACUAGUGAUAUAUGACAGACAGAAGCUGCCUAAGGUCUUACAGGUUUGCCUGGCUUCAAACUCCAAUUUUCUCCCAUAUGCUAUAGAAGUGACCACAAAAGUACAUAGUAAAAGCCACAUUUUUUAUCUAGGGCCUACCACAUGACAAAUUCUAUUCUAUAUUAUCCCUAAUCCUCACAAAGACACUGUAAAGUUGUUAUUUCUGAUCUUCUGCCUAGUAGUUGAGGAAACUAAUGAUAAAAUGUCUGGAACUCCCAUGUUUAAGUUAAUUGCCUCUAAAUCCCUUCAUUUUACCAAUGUUUGUCUUAUUUCAUUCUAAACUCAUUUUACCCUUUUCAGCUUUGCUAUGGUAGUCUGAAAUGAUCCCAGUUCCCCUCUUGUCUAUAUCCAUGGUCCUUUGGAUUGUGGCUUCCCAAUCAAAAUAUAGAGUCUUUUUCUCCCUUUUUAUGUCUGGGAUUGGCUACGUGACUUACUUUGGCCAAUGAGACAUAACAAACAUGAUACAAGCAGAGUCUUGAAAAAUACUUGAUCUUUGGGACUUGUCUGCCUAUUGUUGGGAAUCCUGUCAUAAUGAGAAUGAGCCUGUGCUAGACUGCUUGGUGAUGACAGCCAUACGGCCAUCAUCCCAGAUGACAUUAAGGUGACUAUCAAGCAUGUGACUGAGUUCCUUCCCCUAUAAAACCAACCAACUUGCUAGCUCCUAAACAUCUAACUUCUAACAUCUAACAGCCAAGUUAGCACACACACAACUCAAGUAAGUGUGAGAACUAUAAUAAAUGUUUCCUGUUUUAAACUACUA
Molecule: long non-coding RNA, 3253 nt
Organism: Herpailurus yagouaroundi (jaguarundi)
Lineage: Eukaryota; Metazoa; Chordata; Mammalia; Carnivora; Felidae
Exons: 4
Source: RefSeq, a predicted model, not a curated record